UGUGUAGAGGGGGAUGAGGAUGCCGUGCAAUGCUGGGUAACCUUCCCUUCUCUCACAGU
Molecule: microRNA precursor, 59 nt
Organism: Monodelphis domestica (gray short-tailed opossum)
Lineage: Eukaryota; Metazoa; Chordata; Mammalia; Didelphimorphia; Didelphidae
Product: mdo-mir-7398y
Source: Ensembl